AACGAACGCUGGCGGCAUGCCUAACACAUGCCAGUCGAACGAUUGCCUUCGGGUGAUAGUGGCGCACGGGUGCGUAACGCGUGGGAAUCUGCCCUUAGGUUCGGAAUAACAGCUGGAAACGGCUGCUAAUACCGGAUGAUAUCGCGAGAUCAAAGAUUUAUCGCCUGAGGAUGAGCCCGCGUUGGAUUAGGUAGUUGGUGGGGUAAAGGCCUACCAAGCCGACGAUCCAUAGCUGGUCUGAGAGGAUGAUCAGCCACACUGGGACUGAGACACGGCCCAGACUCCUACGGGAGGCAGCAGUAGGGAAUAUUGGACAAUGGGCGCAAGCCUGAUCCAGCAAUGCCGCGUGAGUGAUGAAGGCCCUAGGGUUGUAAAGCUCUUUUACCCGGGAAGAUAAUGACUGUACCGGGAGAAUAAGCCCCGGCUAACUCCGUG
RNAcentral lists this ribosomal RNA (435 nucleotides) under uncultured bacterium. RNAcentral describes it as "partial 16S ribosomal RNA". It matches the Rfam family "Bacterial small subunit ribosomal RNA", at positions 29 to 507 of the family's 1533-position model. The record is from RNAcentral.